AGUUUUUAUUGACAAGUACGUCUGUAACUGGAAUAUUUAACGUUACUUUCUAAAUCUCUGGGUUUCAAUCAUUGAAAUAAAUAUAAUGCGGAACGCUGAAAUGAAUAUAACUGGAACGCUACCUCCAAUCGGAAAUUUGAAGUCAAACUUGAAGGUUAGUUGUAGUCUUCUCAAAGCUCAUGCAUGCGAAGAGCGUUCAAUCAGUCAAUCAUGAUAAACGCGCGGGUCUUGACCCCCAAUACGAACCAAUUUCAACAACAGAAAAUAUGUACAAGGGGAGAAUUUAUGAUGUCAACAAUCCACAUUUCUAGUAUAUCAGAUCUUUGUUGUUGGAACAAUACAACGGCCACUCAACUAAAGCCCCGUUCAAUUGGAAAACCAUGGAAAUUCGGGUUAGGGAAUAUCAAGAACAUUCGGGCAGAUUUAUCGGAAAAUAUAUUAAAUUCAGGUUAUCUAUUUCAUUAGAAUCUUCUGUAAAAAUUCGGGCACAUUUUCAACUGCCCCCCCUCCCAGGAAAGCUUCAGCCAACCCCGUACACCUAUGCAUGAAAGUAUUGAAUAGAAUCAAAGCUGACUCAUUAUAUAUAGCAGCCUACAUAACCAAACUGAGUCAGAUCAAAUAAUAUAUUACAUGCAACUAAGUUGGUUGAUGAUGGAUCAACAUUUUGGACGGAUUUGAACGGACCUUCGUUAGCAACGUUAGUUGGCCCUGCACGCUUGCAACGGUGAAUUUUUUUUAUUUUCGCUUUACAAGUAGGCGUCGAGAAAGUCUUCUAUAGUAUUCUACGUCAAAGCCGGCACUGGACUUUGGAGUUUUAGAUUUUCGAGACAUCCAGAGACAUCGCAAAUGAAUAACACAAACUGGGCUGCUAUUACCAAAACCACGGAUCGCUUCCUUGUUUUCGUGUCAAAACGUUCAGUAAAACGCGGAUACUGACGGACGGAUGACUUAUCUUCUCUUUAAACGUCAUUUAACAGUCAUAUCCGCGUUUAUCCAAAAGAAUAAAACGCCGAUUAUAGGAUAUGGUUCAAAAAACGUUUUCGUCAUAUACGUUACUCAUUACGUUUGGAAUGUAGUCGCAUUCCCGAAUAUUUGGCACGAAAACAUGAUAUACGUUUUCUGGGCAAGAGGAAGGAUCCACGGUUUUGCUAAGCAAUAUGAAGGAGUCAAAGUGGAAAGUAAUCUUCGUCACACGUUGGGUGAAUUUUGAAUUAUUUGAAAAGAAGGAAAGCUUUUGACAAAUUUACCCAACAUGGCUACGAUGACUCCAUGGGAGAUAGAGCACGAUAAGAUGAUAGAAUACGAUACAGUACGCAUAAUUAUCCAAUAUACUUGCUCCUAGAGCUAUUUGUUAUUUUAACUUCAUUAUCUCCCGGAGUCUCUGUCUCCAUAUAAUAAAAAUCUAUCUUCAAAAAUAUAUCUCUUUUUUAAGAUGAAUGAACAGCUUGGAUAAAUUUCUUCAAUCUUUGUAGUUUUUCUUGAGCUUGCUUUGUGGAUUCCACUAUCUCUGUCUUCUUCUGGAUUUGUGUC
Paramuricea clavata is the source of this 1530-nucleotide non-coding RNA. Lineage: Eukaryota; Metazoa; Cnidaria; Anthozoa; Malacalcyonacea; Plexauridae. The record is from the annotation of a GenBank genome assembly.